RNAcentral lists this ribosomal RNA (292 nucleotides) under uncultured bacterium. Its description in RNAcentral is "partial 16S ribosomal RNA". It matches the Rfam family "Bacterial small subunit ribosomal RNA", at positions 505 to 796 of the family's 1533-position model. The record is from RNAcentral.
GUGUCAGCAGCCGCGGUAAUACGUAGGUGGCAAGCGUUGUCCGGAUUUACUGGGCGUAAAGGGCGUGCAGGCGGUUUGUUAAGUGCAGGGUGAAAGCUCCCGGCUCAACUGGGAGAGGUCCUUGCAUACUGGCAAACUCGAGGGAGGCAGAGGAAAGUGGAAUUCCCGGUGUAGUGGUGAUAUGCGUAGAUAUCGGGAGGAACACCUGUGGCGAAGGCGGCUUUCUGGGCCUUACCUGACGCUGAGACGCGAAAGCGUGGGGAGCGAACCGGAUUAGAAACCCCCGUAGUCC